Long non-coding RNA from Dreissena polymorpha, 728 nucleotides. RefSeq lists it as uncharacterized. The transcript has 3 exons. The record is from RefSeq and is a predicted model, not a curated record. NCBI's taxonomy places the organism in Eukaryota, Metazoa, Mollusca, Bivalvia, Myida, Dreissenidae.
AACUGUUCGUAACAGAUGCGUCUGGGUACAUAAUAUAAAACACAAAGUUUGCUUUGAGGGAUUUUUCUUUAAAUAUUAUAAAUACAAAAUAUACCCGUAAUUAUAUAUUGUGUGAAUGCAUUACAACAGGAAGGAAGCUUCACACUGCAGGCGGUAGAUCAUACUAUUGUAACUGGUGAAAUUUAAGAAAGAAAAAUCAUAUAAAACGGAGCAGAAUCCAGUAGAUUGUUCGACUUUUCAGUCUGAAUUUGUGAAAGUGAUGGUAUUCCACUAUGGAGUGUACAAAAUGUGGUGAACCUGUUGAGGAGGCUGUCAACUUUUGCGGAAAGUGUGGUGCACCUGUCAUCCAGGAAAACAACAAGAAUGGAUGAUGGCUAUUAUCCUGGGCCUUUCUGUCAAAAAAUAGAUGUGAAAAAUAUUCAUUUAAUUAAACCUGGAUAUCGACCAUCACAGCUAACAGAAAACUUUUUUACAAUAGGUGUUGUUUUAGAAUUUGUAAAAUUUUAUUAUAAACAGAAGUCGAUGUAUAUCAUGUCUAAAUGACCAAAUGUCACUGUUUAACAAUUUGAAUUGAGAUGCUUUAUUUUCUGACGUUGGAUUUAUUUUUCCUUUCAGAUGAUGUAUAUUUGUGUGAUUCAAGGUUGUAAUAAAUAAUUCUGAAACAUUUAUGCAGCAUACUGUAACAUCAUUGUUAACGUUAUUAUAUAAUGUUGGUUAUCUGGUUUAUC